UACGUAGGUGGCAAGCGUUGUUCGGAAUUACUGGGCGUAAAGGGCGCGUAGGCGGUCCGCUAAGUCGGAUGUGAAAACUCUGGGCUCAACCCAGAGCCUGCAUCCGAAACUGACGGGCUAGAGUUCUGGAGGGGGUAGCGGAAUUCCUGGUGUAGCGGUGAAAUGCGUAGAUAUCUGGAGGAAUACCGGUGGCGAAGGCGGCAUCCUGGACCGGCAUUGACGCUGAGGAGCGAAAGCCAGGGGAGCAAACGGG
Molecule: ribosomal RNA, 253 nt
Filed under: uncultured bacterium
Lineage: Bacteria
Description: partial 16S ribosomal RNA
Rfam family: Bacterial small subunit ribosomal RNA
Source: RNAcentral